Molecule: ribosomal RNA, 1473 nt
Filed under: Triticum aestivum (bread wheat)
Lineage: Eukaryota; Viridiplantae; Streptophyta; Magnoliopsida; Poales; Poaceae
Description: partial small subunit ribosomal RNA
Source: RNAcentral
AUGCCGGACAAGGCGGUGGACGACGCCAUGGAGUCCGCGGUGGGGGCCCACUUCAGCGGCCUCCGUCUCGAGGCGCUGCGCCUCCCCGCCCCCUCCGGGCCCUCCUCCCCCUCCUCCUCCACCUCCGCCGGCGCCGCCGCCGCCCUCGCCAACGGGCUCGCCCACGCCGGCGCCGACGUCGCCUCCCCCUCCUCACUCAGGCAGCCCUUCGUCAUCGGGGUUUCGGGCGGGACGGCCUCGGGGAAGACCACGGUGUGCGACAUGAUCAUCCAGCAGCUCCACGACCACCGCGUCGUGCUCGUCAACCAGGAUUCAUUUUACCGUGGCUUAACUGCUGAAGAAUCUGCAAGUGCUCAGGACUACAACUUCGAUCAUCCUGACGCAUUUGAUACGGAGCAACUUCUUGAAUGCAUGGGGCAACUAAAACGUGCAUUGCCUGUAAAUGUUCCUAUAUAUGACUUUAAAAAUCACCGAAGGUGCUCAGAAAGGUUCCGAAAGGUCAAUGCAUCAGAUGUCAUUAUUUUGGAGGGCAUUUUAGUCUUCCAUGAUCAAAGGGUUCGCAAUCUGAUGGACAUGAAAAUUUUUGUGGACACAGAUGCAGAUAUUAGGCUUGCCCGGCGAAUAAGGCGUGAUACAGUUGAAAGAGGUAGAGAUGUUAGCUCGGUGCUUGAUCAGUAUGGGAGGUUUGUGAAGCCAGCAUUUGAUGAUUUUGUUCUGCCUUCAAAAAAAUAUGCUGAUGUGAUCAUACCACGCGGAGGUGAUAACCAUGUUGCAAUUGACCUGAUCGUUCAACAUAUUCGUACAAAGCUUGGUAUGCAUGACUUGUGCAAAGUCUUCCGAAACGUCUUUGUAGUUCAAUCAACUUUCCAGAUCCGAGGAAUGCAUACUCUGAUUCGUGAUAGGGAUAUCACUACACCUGACUUUGUCUUUUAUUCAGAUCGAUUAAUACGUUUGGUAGUUGAGCAUGGUUUGGGCCAUUUGCCAUUUACAGAAAAGCAGAUUAUUACUCCAACAGGAUCUGUUUAUACGGGAGUUGAUUUCUGCAAGAAGCUCUGCGGAGUGUCUAUUGUCCGAAGUGGUGAAAGUAUGGAGAAUGCUUUGCGUGCUUGCUGUAAAGGAAUAAAAAUUGGCAAAAUUUUGAUACAUCGUGUUGGAGAUAAUGGACAGCAACUCAUAUACCACAAACUGCCAAUGGACAUAGAUGAACGGCAUGUUCUGCUUUUGGAUCCGGUGCUUGGCACAGGGAACUCAGCAAAUCAAGCUAUAGAUCUUCUUCGAAGGAAAGGCGUUGCUGAGGAGAGGAUCAUAUUCCUCACUCUCAUCUCGGCACCCGAAGGGAUUCAAUGUGUGUGUACGCGAUUUCCGAAGUUGAAGCUUGUGACGUCAGAGAUAGAUACCGGGCUGAGUGAGGAAUUCAGAGUCAUCCCAGGUUUGGGAGAGUAUGGUGAUCGCUACUUCGGCACAGACAACUGA